GACGAACGCUGGCGGCGUGCUUAACACAUGCAAGUCGAACGGAAAGGCCCUGCUUUUGUGGGGUGCUCGAGUGGCGAACGGGUGAGUAACACGUGAGUAACCUGCCCUUGACUUUGGGAUAACUUCAGGAAACUGGGGCUAAUACCGGAUAGGAGCUCCUGCUGCAUGGUGGGGGUUGGAAAGUUUCGGCGGUUGGGGAUGGACUCGCGGCUUAUCAGCUUUUUGGUGGGGUAGUGGCUUACCAAGGCUUUGACGGGUAGCCGUCCUGAGAGGGUGACCGGCCACAUUGGGACUGAGAUACGGCCCAGACUCCUACGGGAGGCAGCAGUGGGGAAUAUUGCACAAUGGGCGGAAGCCUGAUGCAGCAACGCCGCGUGCGGGAUGACGGCCUUCGGGUUGUAAACCGCUUUCGCCUGUGACGAAGCGUGAGUGACGGUAAUGGGUAAAGAAGCACCGGCUAACUACGUG
RNAcentral lists this ribosomal RNA (468 nucleotides) under uncultured bacterium. Its description in RNAcentral is "partial 16S ribosomal RNA". It matches the Rfam family "Bacterial small subunit ribosomal RNA", at positions 28 to 507 of the family's 1533-position model. The record is from RNAcentral.